This 1131-nucleotide long non-coding RNA is filed under the name Citrus maxima (pomelo). Its description in RNAcentral is "long non-coding RNA (CMAX_LNC004137)". The record is from RNAcentral. Lineage: Eukaryota; Viridiplantae; Streptophyta; Magnoliopsida; Sapindales; Rutaceae.
AAAAACCUCACAAGUCACUGGCCGAGCUAGCCAAGAUUUAUGGCCCUAUAUUGAGCCUAAAAUUAGGCGAGGUGACCACAGUAGUAGUUUCAUCUGCUCCCAUGGCCAAAUAUAUCCUGCAAGAUCACGAUUCAUCCUUCUAUAAUCGAAUGGUUAAGGAUGCAAUCUUUCCCCACCAACACAAUGAAUUCGGGAUGGUCCUCCUGCCUGUCUCAACAACCUGGAAAAACCUUCGAAAAUUAUGCAACUUACAUAUUUUCACUACUCAAAAACUCGAUGCCAACCAAGAACUCCGGCGUAAGAAAAUAAAAAAUCUUCUUUCCUAUGUUGAAGAAAAUUGCCGUGCGGGUAAAGCAAUAGAUAUUAGCCAAGUUGUUUUCAAUACUUCACUUAAUUUGUUGUCCAACACAAUUUUUUCUGUUGAUUUGGCCGAUGACACCACUGAGCGAAAGUUUAAGGAUACAGUUUCCAGUAUCCUGGUAGAAAUAGGAAAGCCUAACUUGUCCGACCAUUUUCCCCUGCUUAAAAGGCUUGACUUGCAGGGGAUAAGGAGUCGCAUGACAUUUUAUUUUGGCAAGAUGUUGGAGGUUUUUGAUGGCUUGAUUGAUCAACGAUUGAAGCAAAGACAGCAACAUGAUUACAAUAGUACUAGCAUCGAAUCUAAAGAUGUGCUAGGUACUCUUCUCGAUAUUAUCCAAGACAAGAGUGUGGAGAUCGAUAGAAAUUACAUGAAACAUUUGUUUUUGGUAAUAUUUCUUUAUUUCUCUUUCCUCCUUUUUGCUUGCACAAAUUUCAAGUGAUUUAACAGGGGUUUAUAUAACAGGAUUUGUUUGUUGCUGGGACUGACACCACUUCAAGCACACUGGAAUGGGCGAUGGCGGAGCUACUCCGCAGUCCGGAUGCUUUAUCAAAAGCAAGAUUAGAGUUAGAACAAACGAUUGGUAAAGGCAAAACAAUUGAGGAAUCAGACAUCACUCGGUUACCUUAUCUACAAGCAGUAGUCAAAGAAACCUUGAGGCUGCACCCAGCAGUUCCCUUGUUACUUCCUCGUAAAGCUUUAGCCGACGUAGAAAUUGCGGGCUUCAUAGUUCCAAAAGGAGCACAGGUUUUUGUUAAUGCGUGGGCAAUUGG